UGACCUCUGACCUCAAAUCAGUAGAUACCCGGCCU
RNAcentral lists this ribosomal RNA (35 nucleotides) under Ganoderma lucidum. RNAcentral describes it as "partial 28S ribosomal RNA". Lineage: Eukaryota; Fungi; Basidiomycota; Agaricomycetes; Polyporales; Polyporaceae. The record is from RNAcentral.